Long non-coding RNA from Gopherus flavomarginatus (Mexican gopher tortoise), 1045 nucleotides. RefSeq lists it as uncharacterized. NCBI's taxonomy places the organism in Eukaryota, Metazoa, Chordata, Testudines, Testudinidae. The transcript has 6 exons. The record is from RefSeq and is a predicted model, not a curated record.
CAAUAAUACAAGAAUGCAGAGAUCAGGAGUAGCAGGGAGGGGAGGAGCUGCUCCAACAGCGAUACAAUCUCCUCUCCCCUGCGUGUGAAGCUGGGGAGUGGUAGCUGCCACCAUUUAUAAAGCUGGCACAACAGACGGCUGCCCGGUGAUUGGUCCCAGUAAGGUUCCAUUCCAGCCAUCGGGAUCAGGGGAAGAGAUUGGACAAGGAGGCUAGUGCUCACGUGGACGACUUCCACAACAGCUCUCUCACCAACGGAGCUGCUAAGAGGUGAUCCAGUAUUGUUGCUGGAGGCUCCAGGACUCAGCCAGAGAGUGUUUCUCUGAACAGCUUCAGACACAUCCUUACAUAUCCAAAAUAAAGGGAAAGAUGGAGAAUUAAGGAUUGAUCUGCAGAGGCAAUACCUUCAGCGACCAUGCAAGCAACCAGUUAUAACCAGAGCUGAAGGGAUUAUUCUAUUCAGGGAGAAAAACAGUCCACUAGGUAUCGCCUGCUAAUGCAAGAGAAGCUGCCCCAACAACUGUCACUGGUGAUAAGUACGUUGAGAGGUCAACUUUCAGCUGUGUAGCAACACAUCUUUCGCCUUGUCAGAACAUUCAACCUCUAAGUGCUGGAACUAAGAGCCAAGCAUGGAGGCGGAGGAUCUGCAAGUUGGGGUGAAGGAUCAGGCUGUCAUUUUGAGAGAGCAGAUGAAGAAUGGGCCAACGGGGAACCGGAGUACAUACUGCCAUCUGUUCCAGGCAACUGGAUAUUGAAAACUUCUCCAUAAUCAUCAACAAAUAAUUCCUGCACCUAAGAGGGGGAAAAAGGUUAUUUAUAAAAGACAAAUCACAGGAAUCCUGUGAUAUCACAAAAAAGUGCAUUUUAUGUACAUUUUUAUACUAAAUUGAAGGAGAAACUGAAGAGCACAAUACAGAAGCAUCAGUGAUAAAAGAAUUAGUUUCUUGGCUCUAGAAAGCUAGAUUCCCUUAAUGACUUAAAAUAAGGCCUUCAUGGAAGCAGCCACAUGUGGAAUAUGAAAUAAAUUAUUUUCACUUGCCCCCCAAA